This 378-nucleotide long non-coding RNA is filed under the name Capsicum annuum. Its description in RNAcentral is "long non-coding RNA (CANN_LNC005021)". Lineage: Eukaryota; Viridiplantae; Streptophyta; Magnoliopsida; Solanales; Solanaceae. The record is from RNAcentral.
UUGGAACGACAACCUAGCCACCUAAUGGGUUGCGAAGAGUGGCAGAAGAGUCCCUAAACCUAGCCACCUAAUGGGUUGCGAAGAGUGGCAGGAGAGUCCCUAAACCUAGCCAUCCAAUGGGUUGCAAGGAGUGGCAGUAGAGUCCCUACAGAAGAGAGCCAUGCAGGAUGAGUGGGCAGUGAAGCCUACGGCAUGGGCAAGCAGAGCUUGCAGUUGGAGAAAGUGCUAUGCAAGGCAAGAACCAGGCUAGCACCAAGCGGACCAUUGGGCCGCGACAACGUAAAGAAGGACCUGAGUGCAGGCUUCUUUGCGGAUAGAUGGGCGUUAAAGUCAGGUGGAGGUAAAGCCAUCAGGUGUGUGAGCAGCACGUAUAAACCA